Molecule: long non-coding RNA, 380 nt
Organism: Labeo rohita (rohu)
Lineage: Eukaryota; Metazoa; Chordata; Actinopteri; Cypriniformes; Cyprinidae
Exons: 4
Source: RefSeq, a predicted model, not a curated record
CACAGGUAGACCUGUUUAACUCCACUCGCUGUCUUCACACUCGUCAGAUAUUUCAAAGAGCGACGACAGAAGAGUGAGAUCUACAGUCAGUAUUGUAGAUCAAAAGAUAAUCUCCGGUCUAAUAAAACAGAAUCAUCAUUAUCACAGAGGUCACCACCAUCAGACAGGCACAAUGGCAGCCAAACCAUCUCAUGACAUUAUAGGAGCGGUGGCAGGGAUUGCAAUUGGUGGUAGUCUGGCCUUUACAGUUCUGUUGGUUUUAGUUCUGAUUUUUAUUUUUGGACCCAAAUCACAAACUUUGAACAACUGUUUUUUUGUGGGAACAUUUAUUACAGGAGCAGCAGCAUUGGCUGCUGGGCCAAUAUUCCUAGUACUCUUCA